AACCUAGCACACCUGCGGUGUGUACCUGCGGAGGGAUCAUUAACCUUUCAAAUCAGGGUGCGGCGCGGCCCCCGAGGAGCGGAAACAAUCCUUGGGAGGUAUGCGGGGGCCUCGAGCCCCCCAUUUACGCACGCACGACUGCCAUCCUUACUUUACGAGCACCUUCUGUUCUCCCUCGGCGGGGCAACCUGCCGUUGGAACCGAAUAAACUCUUUUUGCAUCUAGCAUUACCUGUUCCGA
Molecule: unclassified non-coding RNA, 240 nt
Filed under: soil metagenome
Description: partial contains 5.8S ribosomal RNA, internal transcribed spacer 2, and large subunit ribosomal RNA
Source: RNAcentral